AUGGGGAGAGCGCCGUGCUGCGAGAAGGACGGUCUGAAGCGGGGCGCGUGGAGCCCCGGGGAGGACCAGCGGCUGGCCGACUACAUCGCGCGGCAUGGCCACCCCAACUGGCGCGCCCUCCCCAAGCACGCAGGGCUUCUGCUGUGCGGGAAGAGUUGUCGCCUGCGGUGGGUCAACUACCUCAGCCCUGACAUCAAGCGGGGCAACUUCACCGCCGACGAGGAGGACCUCAUCAUCCGCCUCCAUCAGGCCCUCGGCAACAGGUGGUCCGUGAUAGCUGCGCAGCUGCCGGGGCGCACUGACAACGAGAUCAAGAACGUCUGGCACGCGCACCUCAAGAAGAGGCUGGAGGACGGCCUGAAGCCAGCCGCCGAUCAAGACGCCGGCGGCAGUGGCCGGAAGAAGUCACGCAAGCAGGCCAAGGCUAGGAGCGCCACCGUCGACGCUGGUGAGCAGUACACGUCGCCGCCAGGGCAGUCGAGCAGCGGCUUGACGUGCUCCACGGUGACCGAGUCGGCGCCGGCGGUGUCAUCCUCGCCCAGCGAUAACGCCACCAUCACAAGCGCGAGCCACGGCCACCAGCUCGUCAAAGAGGACACCUCCAGCUCGGAGGCGGUCACUGACAACUCUUCAACAGACGUGACGGGAAUGAUAGACCUCGGUGCCAUGGACGAGGAUGUGAGCCUGGUGAUGAGCUCAUCAUCGAAGUGGAGCGAUGACCAGGACUUCUGGAUCAAGAUGCUGCAGGAGGGCGGAGACAUAAUAGACUUGCCAGAGUUGUAA
This 783-nucleotide ribosomal RNA is filed under the name Triticum aestivum (bread wheat). RNAcentral's name for it is "partial small subunit ribosomal RNA". Lineage: Eukaryota; Viridiplantae; Streptophyta; Magnoliopsida; Poales; Poaceae. The record is from RNAcentral.